AUUUCUGCAGCGUCUUCUUGAAAUAUCUCGAGGAUACUGCUUGGCGGCGUGGUCUACAGUGCCCAUCUCUCUCUCAGAGUUAAGCUCAUCUUGGCUAAGCUGUCCGCAUAUCUAUUGCUUUCUCUAUAGCACAGUUAACCUUGCGCCUUCAAACGAAUGGUGAAAAAAGAGAGGGGGAAGAAAAAAAACUCAUUGCUGAUCAAAGCUUAGAACAACCACUAAUUGAGAAUUCUACUAAUGGCCGUAUAUUUUGAUUACAAGAGAUCUAUUCUAUAUGAAUGGUAUUGUAAUUAUUAUGGCAAGUGUUUAUUCAUAUGUUCUAAGGCUUUAGGAAUGUGAGUUCUCUCAUAUUUCGUACCGGUCACCCCUA
Molecule: long non-coding RNA, 370 nt
Organism: Neltuma alba
Lineage: Eukaryota; Viridiplantae; Streptophyta; Magnoliopsida; Fabales; Fabaceae
Exons: 3
Source: RefSeq, a predicted model, not a curated record